Molecule: ribosomal RNA, 375 nt
Filed under: Salmonella enterica subsp. enterica serovar Mikawasima
Lineage: Bacteria; Pseudomonadati; Pseudomonadota; Gammaproteobacteria; Enterobacterales; Enterobacteriaceae
Description: partial 23S ribosomal RNA
Rfam family: Bacterial large subunit ribosomal RNA
Source: RNAcentral
GAAUGCUGACAUAAGUAACGAUAAAGCGGGUGAAAAGCCCGCUCGCCGGAAGACCAAGGGUUCCUGUCCAACGUUAAUCGGGGCAGGGUGAGUCGACCCCUAAGGCGAGGCCGAAAGGCGUAGUCGAUGGGAAACGGGUUAAUAUUCCCGUACUUGGUGUUACUGCGAAGGGGGGACGGAGAAGGCUAUGUUGGCCGGGCGACGGUUGUCCCGGUUUAAGCGUGUAGGUGUGUGUUCCAGGUAAAUCCGGUUCACUUUAACACUGAGGCGUGAUGACGAGGCACUACGGUGCUGAAGCAACAAAUGCCCUGCUUCCAGGAAAAGCCUCUAAGCAUCAGGUAACAUCAAAUCGUACCCCAAACCGACACAGGUGGU